Molecule: ribosomal RNA, 440 nt
Filed under: uncultured bacterium
Lineage: Bacteria
Description: partial 16S ribosomal RNA
Rfam family: Bacterial small subunit ribosomal RNA
Source: RNAcentral
CCUACGGGAGGCAGCAGUGGGGAAUAUUGCACAAUGGGGGAAACCCUGAUGCAGCGACGCCGCGUGAGUGAAGAAGUAUCUCGGUAUGUAAAGCUCUAUCAGCAGGGAAGAAAAUGACGGUACCUGACUAAGAAGCCCCGGCUAACUACGUGCCAGCAGCCGCGGUAAUACGUAGGGGGCAAGCGUUAUCCGGAUUCACUGGGCGUAAAGGGAGCGUAGACGGUAUAGCAAGUCAGACGUGAAAUCCCGGGGCUUAACCCCGGAACUGCUUUGGAAACUGUGAGUCUGGAGUGCAGGAGAGGUAGGCGGAAUUCGUGGUGUAGCGGUGAAAUGCGUAGAUAUUAAGAGGAAGACCGAUGGCGAAGGCGGCUUGCUGGACUGUAACUGACGUUGAGGCUCGAAAGCGUGGGGAGCAAACAGGAUUAGAUACCCGAGUAGUC